AGCCGUUGGGGGGGUGCUUACACAUGCAAGUCGAGCGGUAAGGCCCUUCGGGGUACACGAGCGGCGAACGGGUGAGUAACACGUGAGCAACCUGCCCCUGACUCCGGGAUAAGCGGUGGAAACGCCGUCUAAUACCGGAUAUGACACACCAUCUCCUGGUGGUGUGUGGAAAGUUUUGUCGGUCAGGGAUGGGCUCGCGGCCUAUCAGCUAGUUGGUGGGGUAAAGGCCUACCAAGGCGAUUACGGGUAGCCGGCCUGAGAGGGCGACCGGCCACACUGGGACUGAGACACGGCCCAGACUCCUGCGGGAGGCAGCAGUGGGGAAUAUUGCACAAUGGGCGAAAGCCUGAUGCAGCGACGCCGCGUGGGGGAUGACGGCCUUCGGGUUGUAAACCUCUUUUACCACCAACGCAGGCCCCGGGUUCUCUCGGGGUUGACGGUAGGUGGGGAAUAAGGACCGGCUAACUACGUGCCAGCAGCCGCGGUAAUACGUAGGGUCCGAGCGUUGUCCGGAAUUAUUGGGCGUAAAGAGCUCGUAGGCGGCGUGUCGCGUCUGCUGUGAAAGACCGGGGCUUAACCCCGGUUCUGCAGUGGAUACGGGCAUGCUAGAGGUAGGUAGGGGAGACUGGAAUUCCUGGUGUAGCGGUGAAAUGCGCAGAUAUCAGGAGGAACACCGGUGGCGAAUGCGGGUCUCUGGGCCUUACCUGACGCUGAGGAGCGAAAGCAUGGGGAGC
Molecule: ribosomal RNA, 734 nt
Filed under: Nocardiopsis terrae
Lineage: Bacteria; Bacillati; Actinomycetota; Actinomycetes; Streptosporangiales; Nocardiopsidaceae
Description: bacterial SSU rRNA
Rfam family: Bacterial small subunit ribosomal RNA
Source: RNAcentral